UAACAAGGAAUCCAGGCUAAGAACGCCACAUCCUGUGGCAAGGCCUGAGUGACCCACAUCCU
This 62-nucleotide small RNA is filed under the name Cytobacillus oceanisediminis. Its description in RNAcentral is "Bacillus oceanisediminis Bacillaceae-1 RNA". It matches the Rfam family "Bacillaceae-1 RNA". The record is from RNAcentral. Lineage: Bacteria; Bacillati; Bacillota; Bacilli; Caryophanales; Bacillaceae.